This 484-nucleotide ribosomal RNA is filed under the name uncultured bacterium. Its description in RNAcentral is "bacterial SSU rRNA". It matches the Rfam family "Bacterial small subunit ribosomal RNA", at positions 30 to 507 of the family's 1533-position model. The record is from RNAcentral.
AUUGAACGCUGCGGCAUGCUUUACACAUGCAAGUCGAACGGCAGCGCGGGGGCAACCCUGGCGGCGAGUGGCGAACGGGUGAGUAAUGUAUCGGAACGUAUCCUGUAAUGGGGGAUAACCAGUCGAAAGAUUGGGUAAUACCGCAUACGCACGAGAGUGGAAAGUAGGGGAUCGCAAGACCUUACGUUAUAGGAGCGGCCGAUAUCUGAUUAGCUAGUUGGUGGGGUAAAGGCCUACCAAGGCGACGAUCAGUAGCUGGUCUGAGAGGACGACCAGCCACACUGGGACUGAGACACGGCCCAGACUCCUACGGGAGGCAGCAGUGGGGAAUUUUGGACAAUGGACGAAAGUCUGAUCCAGCAAUGCCGCGUGCAGGACGAAGGCCUUCGGGUUGUAAACUGCUUUUGUACAGAACGAAAAAGUCUUUAAUAACACUAGAGGCUCAUGACGGUACUGUAAGAAUAAGCACCCGGCUAACUACGUG